UCAAGUUAUUAAGGGUGCAGGGCGGAUGCCUUGGCACUAGGAGCCGAUGAAGGACGUGAUAAGCUGCGAUAAGCUUCGGGGAGUUGCACGUAAACUUUGAUCCGAAGAUUUCCGAAUGAGGAAACUCACUUAGAGUAAUGUCUAAGUAUCAUUAAGUGAAUACAUAGCUUAAUGAGGGGAACUCAGGGAACUGAAACAUCUAAGUACCUGAAGGAAGAGAAAGAAAUUCGAUUCCGUAAGUAGCGGCGAGCGAACGCGGAUUAGCCCAAACCAAUAAAGUUUUCUUUAUUGGGGUUGCGGACAUAUCAUAACGAAGAGGUAUCGUAAUUGAAGAGGUUUGGAAAGACCCACCACAGAAGGUAAUAGUCCUGUAUGUUAAACGAGAAGACUUCAGAUAUGAUCCAGAGUACCACGGGACACGUGAAACCCUGUGGGAAGUAGGAGGGACCACCCUCCAAGGCUAAAUACUACCUAGUGACCGAUAGCGUAUAGUACCGUGAGGGAAAGGUGAAAAGAACCCCGGGAGGGGAGUGAAAUAGAACCUGAAACCCUGCACUUACAAGCUGUGGAAGCACAUUUCUUGUGUGACCGCGUACUUUUUGUAGAACGGGCCAACGAGUUACGUUAAGUAGCAAGGUUAAGCACUUAAGGUGUGGAGCCGUAGCGAAAGCGAGUUUUAACUGAGCGUUCAGUUACUUGACGUAGACCCGAAACCGGGCGACCUACCCAUGAGCAGGAUGAAGCGAAAGUAAAAUUUCGUGGAGGUCCGAACCCACGAGCGUUGAAAAGCUCGGGGAUGACUUGUGGGUAGCGGUGAAAUUCCAAUCGAGCCCGGAGAUAGCUGGUUCUCCCCGAAAUAGCUUUAGGGCUAGCCUCAAGGUGAGAGAUACGGAGGUAGAGCACUGAAUGUCCUAGGGGGUAUUGCACCUACCGAAGACUAUCAAACUCCGAAUGCCGUCAUCUUAUACUUGGGAGUCAGACUGUGGGUGAUAAGAUUCAUAGUCGAAAGGGCAACAGCCCAGAUCGUCAGCUAAGGUCCCUAAAUGUAAGUUAAGUGGUAAAGGAUGUGGGAUUGCACAGACAACCAGGAUGUUGGCUUAGAAGCAGCCACUCAUUCAAAGAGUGCGUAAUAGCUCACUGGUCGAGUGAUCCUGCGCCGAAGAUUUCCGGGGCUAAAACUUACUACCGAAGCUACGGCAUCAGUAAUGAUGGGUAGGGGAGCUUCCCAUACGGGUUGAAGCAUGACCGUAAGGACAUGUGGACAGUAUGGGAGUGAGAAUGUUGGCAUGAGUAGCGAGAUGUGGGUGAGAAUCCCACAGGCCGUAAACCCAAGGUUUCCAGGGGAAGGUUCGUCCGCCCUGGGUUAGUCGGGACCUAAGCUGAGGCCGAAAGGCGUAGGUGAUGGACAACAGGUUGAUAUUCCUGUACUACCGAUAACCGUUUGAGAGAAGGGAUGACACAGUAGGAUAAGCUAAGCACACUGUUGGUUAUGUGUGCCCAAGCAUUGAGGCAGUCAAAGUAGGCAAAUCCGCUUUGAUAAUGCUGGGAUGUGAUGGGGAGCGAAAUUUAGUAGCGAAGUAGCUGAUUUCACACUGUCAAGAAAAGUCUCUAUCGAGGUUAAAGGUACCCGUACCGCAAACCGACACAGGUGGGUGAGGAGAGUAUCCUAAGGCCAGCGAGAGAACUGUUGUUAAGGAACUCGGCAAAAUGACCCCGUAACUUAGGGAUAAGGGGUGCCACCAUCAGGUGGCCGCAGAGAAUAGGCCCAAGCGACUGUUUACCAAAAACAUAGGUUUCUGCUAAGUCGCAAGACGAUGUAUAGGAGCUGACGCCUGCCCGGUGCUGGAAGGUUAAGGGGAUCUGUUAGAGCAAUCGAAGCAGUGAACUUAAGCCCCAGUAAACGGCGGCCGUAACUAUAACGGUCCUAAGGUAGCGAAAUUCCUUGUCGGGUAAGUUCCGACCCGCACGAAAGGCGUAACGAUUUGGGCACUGUCUCAACAACAGACUCGGUGAAAUUGUAAUUCCGGUGAAGAUGCCGGAUACCUGCGACAGGACGGAAAGACCCCAUGGAGCUUUACUGUAGCUUGACAUUGGGUCUUGGUACUACAUGUACAGGAUAGGUGGGAGGCUUUGAAACCAGGACGCCAGUUUUGGCGGAGCCAUCCUUGGGAUACCACCCUUGUAGUACUGGGACUCUAACCAUAGGCCAUGAAUCUGGUCUUGGGACACUGUCAGGUGGGCAGUUUGACUGGGGCGGUCGCCUCCCAAAAGGUAACGGAGGCGCUCAAAGGUUCUCUCAGUACGGUCGGAAAUCGUACGUAGAGUGUAAAGGCAAAAGAGAGCUUGAUUGCAAGACAUACAGGUCGAGCAAGGAUGAAAAUCGGACUUAGUGAUCCGGUGGUUCUGCGUGGAAGGGCCAUCGCUCAACGGAUAAAAGCUACCCUGGGGAUAACAGGCUUAUCUCCCCCAAGAGUCCACAUCGACGGGGAGGUUUGGCACCUCGAUGUCGGCUCAUCACAUCCUGGGGCUGUAGUAGGUCCCAAGGGUUGGGCUGUUCGCCCAUUAAAGUGGUACGCGAGCUGGGUUCAGAACGUCGUGAGACAGUUCGGUCCCUAUCCGUCGCAGGCGUAGGAAAUUUGAGAAGACCUGUCCUUAGUACGAGAGGACCGGGAUGGACGUACCUCUGGUGUACCAGUUGUUCUGCCAAGGGCAUGGCUGGGUAGCUAUGUACGGAAUGGAUAAGCGCUGAAAGCAUCUAAGCGCGAAGCCAACUUCAAGAUAAGAUUUCCCACCGCAAGGGUAAGACCCCAGAAAGACUAUCUGGUUGAUAGGUCGAAGGUGUAAGUGCAGCAAUGUAUUUAGCUUAUCGAUACUAAUAGGUCGAGGACUUGACCAA
RNAcentral lists this ribosomal RNA (2896 nucleotides) under Clostridioides difficile. RNAcentral describes it as "bacterial LSU rRNA". It matches the Rfam family "Bacterial large subunit ribosomal RNA". The record is from RNAcentral. Lineage: Bacteria; Bacillati; Bacillota; Clostridia; Peptostreptococcales; Peptostreptococcaceae.